This 484-nucleotide ribosomal RNA is filed under the name uncultured bacterium. RNAcentral describes it as "partial 16S ribosomal RNA". It matches the Rfam family "Bacterial small subunit ribosomal RNA", at positions 28 to 507 of the family's 1533-position model. The record is from RNAcentral.
AUUGAACGCUGGCGGCAUGCUUUACACAUGCAAGUCGAACGGCAGCGCGGGCUUCGGCCUGGCGGCGAGUGGCGAACGGGUGAGUAAUGCAUCGGAACGUGCCCAGUAGUGGGGGAUAGCCCGGCGAAAGCCGGAUUAAUACCGCAUACGACCUGAGGGUGAAAGCGGGGGACCGAAAGGCCUCGCGCUAUUGGAGCGGCCGAUGUCGGAUUAGCUAGCUGGUGGGGUAAAGGCUUACCAAGGCGACGAUCCGUAGCUGGUCUGAGAGGACGACCAGCCACACUGGGACUGAGACACGGCCCAGACUCCUACGGGAGGCAGCAGUGGGGAAUUUUGGACAAUGGGGGCAACCCCGAUCCAGCCAUGCCGCGUGCGGGAAGAAGGCCUUCGGGUUGUAAACCGCUUUUGUUCGGGAAGAAAUCCUCUGGGCUAAUACCCCGGGGGGAUGACGGUACCGGAAGAAUAAGCACCGGCUAACUACGUG